AUUGAACGCUGGCGGCAGGCUUAACACAUGCAAGUCGAGCGAGCGGCGGACGGGUGAGUAAUGUCUGGGAAACUGCCUGAUGGAGGGGGAUAACUACUGUAAACGGGAGCUAAUACCGCUUACCAUCAGAUGUGCCCAGAGGGGAUUAGCUAGUAGGUGGGGUAAUGGCUCACCUAGGCGACGAACCCUAGCUGGUCUUAUAGGAUGACCGGCCGCACUGGAACUGAGAAACGGUCCAGACUCCUACUGGAGGCAGCAGUGGGGAUUAGUGCACAGUGGGCGAAGGCGUGAUGCAGCCAUGCCGCGUGUGUGAAGAAGGCCUUCGGGUUGUAAAGCACUUUCAGCGAGGAGGCGUUACGCGCAGAAGAAGCACCGGCUAACUCCGUGCCGGCAGACGCGGUAAUUC
This 406-nucleotide ribosomal RNA is filed under the name uncultured bacterium. RNAcentral's name for it is "partial 16S ribosomal RNA". It matches the Rfam family "Bacterial small subunit ribosomal RNA", at positions 30 to 526 of the family's 1533-position model. The record is from RNAcentral.